UAGGGAAUCUUCCGCAAUGGACGCAAGUCUGACGGAGCAACGCCGCGUGAGUGAAGAAGGAUUUCGGUUCGUAAAACUCUGUUGUUAGAGAAGAACAGCGCAUAGAGUAACUGUUAUGCGUGUGACGGUAUCUAACCAGAAAGCCACGGCUAACUACGUGCCAGCAGCCGCGGUAAUACGUAGGUGGCAAGCGUUGUCCGGAUUUAUUGGGCGUAAAGCGAGCGCAGGCGGUCAAUUAAGUCUGAUGUGAAAGCCCCCGGCUCAACCGGGGAGGGUCAUUGGAAACUGGUUGACUGGAGUGCGGAAGAGGAGAGUGGAAUUCCAUGUGUAGCGGUGAAAUGCGUCGAUAUAUGGAGGAACACCAGUGGCGAAGGCGACUCUCUGGUCUGUAACUGACGCUGAGGCUCGAAAGCGUGGGUAGCAAACAGG
Molecule: ribosomal RNA, 429 nt
Filed under: Bacteroidota bacterium
Lineage: Bacteria; Pseudomonadati; Bacteroidota
Description: Bacteroidetes bacterium partial 16S ribosomal RNA
Rfam family: Bacterial small subunit ribosomal RNA
Source: RNAcentral